AAUUCCUGCUCGGAUUUUAACCGAAACCUAUGAUUUGAAGAACCAUCGUUGUUUUUCAACUACAAGAAC
This 69-nucleotide transfer RNA is filed under the name Phoxinus semotilus. RNAcentral describes it as "tRNA-Glu". The record is from RNAcentral. Lineage: Eukaryota; Metazoa; Chordata; Actinopteri; Cypriniformes; Leuciscidae.